This 497-nucleotide ribosomal RNA is filed under the name uncultured bacterium. RNAcentral's name for it is "partial 16S ribosomal RNA". It matches the Rfam family "Bacterial small subunit ribosomal RNA", at positions 28 to 507 of the family's 1533-position model. The record is from RNAcentral.
GAUGAACGCUGGCGGCGUGCCUAAUACAUGCAAGUCGAGCGAACAGACGAGGAGCUUGCUCCUUUGACGUUAGCGGCGGACGGGUGAGUAACACAUGGGUAACCUACCUAUAAGACUGGGAUAACUUCGGGAAACCGGAGCUAAUACCGGAUAAUAUUUCGAACCGCAUGGUUCGAUAGUGAAAGAUGGCUUUGCUAUCACUUAUAGAUGGACCUGCGCCGUAUUAGCUAGUUGGUAAGGUAACGGCUUACCAAGGCAACGAUACGUAGCCGACCUGAGAGGGUGAUCGGCCACACUGGAACUGAGACACGGUCCAGACUCCUACGGGAGGCAGCAGUAGGGAAUCUUCCGCAAUGGGCGAAAGCCUGACGGAGCAACGCCGCGUGAGUGAUGAAGGUCUUCGGAUCGUAAAACUCUGUUAUUAGGGAAGAACAAACGUGUAAGUAACUGUGCACGUCUUGACGGUACCUAAUCAGAAAGCCACGGCUAACUACGUG